Elaeis guineensis (African oil palm) is the source of this 3976-nucleotide non-coding RNA. The record is from RefSeq and is a predicted model, not a curated record. NCBI's taxonomy places the organism in Eukaryota, Viridiplantae, Streptophyta, Magnoliopsida, Arecales, Arecaceae.
AUAUAUAAAUUAAAUAGUCGGCCCCGGCAGCGAUAAAAAUGUCCGAGGGGAGCAGCCGCGACCGCCGUCGGCCCUGCAGUCCACUUGCCUCCGCCGGUCAGAUCUCCUCUACGAGAAUCACCUUCUUGCCUUCAGCCUCCGGUCGGUGUAAAAAGAACCCGAGAGGCCGAGAUAAAUCGAAUUUCCGAUGCUGAACUAUGAAUGCUUAUGGAUUUCUGGGAGAGUGCGCUAGCUAGAUGUGAAUGCUCGAUAUUGUUUAUAGUUAUCUUUAUUAGCUGGUUUUGUAUGUAAUUCUAGAUCUGAAAACCACCACUUGAUUUUUGUUAAUAUUAUCUGGAAGUGUUUUGACUAAGGUUAUCCCGGGGUUAUAUAAUUGUGGAUUCAAAGUUAUUGAUAUGUAAUUAUAUCAGCUCUUGAGGAUUGAGGAUCACUUGGCUCAAAUUUUUAUAGAGUAAUUGGAUUUGUUAUUCAGGAAGCCUUGCGUGUCUGUGAGGUUCACCUUGCAGGCAUGCGGCGUCUGUUAUGCUCUGUUUUGGGGCAUGACAAUUGAUAUGAAGAUUGCACUAUGUGAUAAGAUAGAGGGUGAGCCUUGGCACAAUGAUAAGGUUGCUCCAUUGUGACCUAGAGGUUAUGGAUUUAAAACAUGAAAACAACCGCUCCGCACAUGGGGAUAAAAAUGCGUAUAUCUGACUCUCCCCAAACUCUACAAUGGCAGGAGCCUUUAUAUAGUAGGCUGCCCUCUGUUUUACAAACAUAUAAUCUACUCAACUUAGAAAAUAGUUAAAAAAGACAAACUUGUUAAAUUUUUAAAAUUUAUGAGAUCUCCAGAAAAAAGAAAAUGUUGAGUAUAGGGAUCACAAUCGAAUUUGUACAUAUUUAGUGCAAAGCAAAACAACUUCAACAUCCUCAACAAUCUUACAUUGGCUUCCCAUAUGGUUGUUGGCUACUGACAUGUCUCUAGAAGUCAGAUCCAUCCAAGCAUCAAAUUUUAGCAUAGAGCAACAUAGCUAAAAGGGAUCCAAAUAUACAUGAAGAUACAUGGUCUUGUUGGUUAGAAUGUAAUUUAAUGACUAAGUUUCAUAUUUUGUUUAACUUUUAAGCAUACAAUAUCUUUUUUGGACUGGCUUGCAUAUUUUUGUAUACUCAAUUAUGCACAUACUUCCCCCACACUUAUGUUUGUCUGAUACGAACUUAUGUCUUAUCUUAUCCACAAUCCAAGUACCAAGUGUUAAAUAGCCGUAAAAACAAUGCAUAGAAGUGGAUUAGUGGUGAAUUGAGAAAAAACAGAGACUCAAAAUCAAAAUGCCUGUCAAGUCAUCACCAUUCAUUAAAUCUCUGCAAUAAACCAUAUGCAUUCACCUAUGUUGCUAGGCCAAUGAUAACAUCCUGACCCUCAAUCCCACUUCCUUCUCUCAAUAUCACAUGCUCUUCCCUAUGCAAAACUCCAAGUAUCUGGAAUAGAAUUGGAUAGGAAGUGCUCCAAACCUUGUAAUAUCAAUAAAUAAGAAAAUUGAUCUCCAUAUUGUGUCAUAUAAAUUAGUUUUAGAGGUACAAGAUCUGCCUACUCCUAUAAAUUCAGAUAUGUUUACCAUGGAGAGAAUGAAGUUGUAGGUUCUUUGCAUAAAGGCAAACAUCCAUUGCAAACAAAAACACUGGAAUGCACAAAUCUGCCUUAUAAAUUGUCCAAGAAAGUUAAAUCACAUCAUAUCAACACUUUAUACUUACUAACAUGACCGGCAUUUUUCUUGUCUAUAGUUUUCAACAAUUACUGAGUGCAAAUUUUAUUUUUUUGUUGGUCGACAAGGUCGAGUUCGUUUGGUGUUUUCAGAACAUAUCUUCAUACCAAUGACAUUAGUUGAUUUUUGACUUUUAAUAAAAAUUAAUUUUGUGGGAGCUAACUUUUGAAGAAAUGCUAGUCUUAACAUAUUGAUUGGUUAUCUCUUGUCUGGCUGCUUGAGCUUCAAAAUUGUUGCAUGCACCCAAGGUUUGUCGUACCGACCUGUAUCCCAUCCGGUAAAUUACCAGUAUGAUACUGAGGUUUGGUUCUGUAUAUGCGAUGAACCAGUUUGUACCGGUCCGAACUAAAUAGAAUAGAACUGCAGCAGCUAUUUUUGCAGCUAAUGACUGAAUCAAUGUAUAAAUAAAACUAAAAGUAGCUUCAGUUAAUAACUAUUUGAGCCUUCAACGUGUUGAAAGCUAGCUAAUAUAUUUUUGUGAUCUGCAUAGCUUGAUAGAGUCAUAUACUAAAACCACCAUUGAAGCUGGUCAGCACAUAGAAAAGGUUGUCUCCCUUUGUUUUCUUGAUAUUUUUAUUGCCUGACUGAUCUGUAGUUUCCAGGUGUCUUACCUUUUCAGUUGUGGAGAUAUGCUAGGAUUAUGAAAACAUAGCUUGAUGCUUGAACCUUGUUUCUACCAAUUCUUGCAAUUGCACCCUCAUGUGAUGCCGGUCACAUUGGAUUGUUGAAUAAUUCCAUCCUAGAUUUGCGAUAUGUUGGGAGAUGAUUGUACUAUUUUUGAAAUCAUAGCUGUUCUUUUACUCUCAUGACAGUGGUCUCGCAAACUGCUUCAUUGUGAUAGUUGGAAAAUUUUGUGCAUUAAUUCUAAUGUCAGUUGCUGGUUUCGUGCCAAUGAUUGUAGUUGUUGACUUUGUCCAUGCUUUUUAAUCUGGGAUUGUUUAUCAAUUAAAAUGUAUUGGACUAAUGUAUGUUCUAGUGUUUCAAGGAUAGAAAUGGAGUGCUAAUAUGUUUUCUUAUGCAGGGCUUAGGCUGUCAGGUUCCAGUAUCUGUUUUGCAAGUAUGUAAAGUGCCAGAUUAGGUUAGUUUAUAAACGUGGACAUAAUUAAUUGAAGGAGAGUUGAGAUCAUUUUAUAAGUAUGUUGAAUAUACUGCUAUUGGUUUACUCUGCAAAACUGUACAUAUCACUAUAUCUAUGUUAAAGUAGUCUGGUUGUAUAUUCUUUGCUGUUCUCACUUGAAGACUAUCUGCCAUGCUUCAGUUGGCAGAAUCUAGUAUAGAUCAUUUUUGAAGCAUCUGUGUUCCAUCAAGGCAUUUGUAUGAAGUCAGUCCUCUAAAUGCUAGUGGUGGAUCACUUGUUUCAAAUUCUUCCAAUGCCUUGUAUCGUGAUAUAGUGCAUUGUUAACCUUUAUUUCUGGUUAGAUUUUGUUGCAGAAAAUUUCUGAAUUGCCAUCUCAGUUUACAUUCCUGUACUAUUGUUCAAGUCCAUAGCGCAGGGAGUUUGAUUAGAAGGUGUACUAAAUUUAAAACUAAUUCCAUCACCUCAGCUAGUUUUGGGCUACCAAUGGUGGACUCAUCAAUCCAUUAUAUAUAUUGGAUAAAUCUUGUCAUGGGCUCAUAGCUUUUGGUACCUGAUAUGUUAUGCUUAACCAAUGUGUCAUUUCAUGUGACUAUAUUCAAAUGUGCAUUUGAUCCAUACAUUUACAUGAUCAUUCUGGUGGAACAUAGCAUCAUUUCUAAUGUUGAAUUACUGUUUUGUUCAUAUUGUUUUGACAAGAGCUGGUAAUUUAAUCAGGGAACAUAUGCUGUUGCCUCUUUUUUUAACUAUUCAUUUUGCUGAACCUUAAGUUUAUUUGGCUCGGAAGAUUUAUAAGAAGAGGGUGAAGAAGCGACCAUGAUCAAAGAUCUCUUAACUGUUUUUUAACCUUAGAAUGGUCAUUACCUAGCUUAAGUGCAAUUUCAGCUCAAUUAGGUUAGAGGGAUAGAAUGAAGUGGCUGUGUGAUGUAGACAAAUCAAGGACAAAGUAUGGUGGGGAUUGGGGAAUUUAAGUGACACCCAACAAAAGGUAGUGGUGGAGGCAAGCAAAUAGGAGAGAAUAUUUGACCUCAAAAGAAGUAUAAUUGUAUAAGAUUAGAGGUCAGAAAAUUAGCAACAUGCAUAAUAAAUGGCAUGCGGUGCAACUUCGAAAAAAAUAUUUGAGUCCAACUCAAUAUAAAAAUUUUAAGCUAUGUUCAAAUCAAAA